UGUUCGAGCGUCAUUAUAACCACUCAAGCCUCGGCUUGGUCUUGGGGUUCGCGGUCUCGCGGCCCUUAAAAUCAGUGGCGGUGCUGUCUGGCUCUAAGCGUAGUAAUUCUCUCGCUAUAGAGUCCCGGCGGUUCCCCGCCAGAACCCCCUAAUUUUUUACGGUUGACCUCGGAUCAGGUAGGGAUACCCGCUGAACUUAA
RNAcentral lists this unclassified non-coding RNA (200 nucleotides) under soil metagenome. Its description in RNAcentral is "partial contains internal transcribed spacer 2 and large subunit ribosomal RNA". The record is from RNAcentral.